GAUGAACGCUGGCGGCGUGCCUAAUACAUGCAAGUCGAACGCGAGAGGAGGGAGCUUGCUCCCUCUGAUCGAGUGGCGGACGGGUGAGUAACACGUAGGCAACCUGCCCAUCAGCCGGGGAUAACUGCGGGAAACCGUGGCUAAUACCGGAUAAUCCUCCCCACCGCGGGGUGGGGAGUUGAAAGACGGUUUCGGCUGUCGCUGAUGGAUGGGCCUGCGGCGCAUUAGCUGGUUGGCGGGGUAACGGCCCACCAAGGCAACGAUGCGUAGCCGACCUGAGAGGGUGAUCGGCCACACUGGGACUGAGACACGGCCCAGACUCCUACGGGAGGCAGCAGUAGGGAAUCUUCCGCAAUGGACGCAAGUCUGACGGAGCAACGCCGCGUGAGUGAAGAAGGGUUUCGGCUCGUAAAACUCUGUUGUUAAGGAAGAACGCCAGGUAGAGUAACUGCUACCUGUGUGACGGUACUUAACCAGAAAGCCACGGCUAACUACGUGCCAGCCGCCGCAGUAA
Molecule: ribosomal RNA, 514 nt
Filed under: uncultured bacterium
Lineage: Bacteria
Description: partial 16S ribosomal RNA
Rfam family: Bacterial small subunit ribosomal RNA
Source: RNAcentral